UGCACAAUCUUAUUCGUAUCCUCAUCGCGGGUGUAUUUCAAUCCGUGGAUACUGCUGGUGGCACAGAAGUCACUCCAACUCCUCAUGGUGACCCAUUUCAACCGCCAACUGAAUCCUUCUGCCUCGUUGCGGGCAUUUAAAUACCAGAUAGAGGAGAUGGCUGCACUUGAUAUCCUGACAACUGCUUAUUAUUUACGAAUUAGCCAUCAGGGUUGAAAGAGUAACCAAAGCUGUUUAGAAUGCUUAUAUUUAGCUUUGCAAGGCUACAUUUUUCUGAUAUUCUUUAACUACUACUUUAAGCAGCAGAAGAUAGUAUUUCAAGAUUAAUAUAUUCCCAGUUAGCUGUUCCCUUUCCUGUCCUCUUGCAAUAAAUAUUUCAAGGCUUGUUGCUUCUUAAACUAGUAGUUUUUAAUGGUUUUCAUACAUUUGGUUGCUUGCUUUACAAUGUUCGCUUGAGCGGAUCAUUUAAUAAUUUCAAAACAAAUCAGUUAGAGAACUAAACUCUUUCGCUAUCACAAUAAGAUACGAAAACUACACAUUUGCAAUGGUAGACCUCGAUUUCCCUAACUAAAGUUGACGUUUUGUGCUCGACUUGGUGUGGUUUCGGUUUCAGUUCCCAAUUUAUUUACAAUUGGAAGAUAAGUGUCUUUUUAGCGGUGUUCAUGCAGAUGUAGGAAUAAAUCAAAGGCUAACUAUCAAUAUUAACAACUUUUGGCUUAUCAAAUAAUUAAACUAAAACAAGGA
Molecule: long non-coding RNA, 744 nt
Organism: Drosophila yakuba
Lineage: Eukaryota; Metazoa; Arthropoda; Insecta; Diptera; Drosophilidae
Exons: 2
Source: RefSeq, a predicted model, not a curated record